This 397-nucleotide long non-coding RNA is filed under the name Mytilus galloprovincialis (Mediterranean mussel). Lineage: Eukaryota; Metazoa; Mollusca; Bivalvia; Mytilida; Mytilidae. The record is from RNAcentral.
UUUAUACUGAUUACAAAAACAAUAUUUAUAUCAAUUGAAACACUAUUCAAUUGGUAACCUUUUAGGAUAAGUUUAUUUAAAGGAUUAAUAAGUUAACCUGUAUUAUAUCUCAAUUUCCGCUAGGUCAAAAAUUAGCAAAAUCAAUGUAUAGGGGCGCAAAACCCUCCCCUUAAAUUAAGACAGUGGCCCAAUAGCAGAAGAGAAGAAAAAACUACAAAAACAAUGAACAAAAAAGAGAAACCAACCGCAAUUGCUAAAUAACAGUUUUCUGACUCUGGGAACGCACACAGAAAUAUUUUUAGGUGCCCAACCUACAACCCCUAUAUAACCAUGAAAAUUUGUGAACCAACACAACAUAUGUGUAUAAAAACAACCUAUAAAAAUCAGUUAAAAAGGG